GCCCUCCUUAAUUUCUUCCUGUCAAUGGCUUUCUCGCUCACUCGCUCCCUAAUAGAGGCGGGCUGCCGAUGUACUUCACGUGGACCGCCUUCCCCUUUGCCCCGCCUCCAAUCGGGUGCACCACUACACACGUGCAAGAUCAUUCCUGACGCUUUCUCACAAACUCAGAGGCAGCACUUGUCGAUGAAGUUUCCCAUCAUUCACUCCUCUAAAAACAAAUACGCGACUGAAUGUGAACUCACGUCGGUCUCCAACGAGAAACAGACAGCCUUCUGCGCAGCGUCGAUCCUUCGACGUCUGCUCCGCUUUUCUGAAGUCGACAAGCGGCGCAAAUAUGUAACACAUAAUUGCAUACGUACGUAAGUGCAGGCACCCCUCGACGCAUGUGUGCGCGUGUGAUGAUACACCAAAGCAGGGAAUCUCUUGUCGAGCGCCGGCGCGCGUCGCCGGCGUGGUGACAUGACACACUUUGAGUAACCGAAUCCAUUCAUUGAAUUGCCUGACCCGUGCGUGUGUGUGUGCGUGUCGGACGCAUGCGUGUGCUCCCACCCCCCCCCCCAAAUGACGAAUGUGGCAUCUCUCCACGGACACCGCAUUCGCACUGCGGUGCGUGACAUCACUGUUGCCUUCGAACCUAAUACCAGGGCCGAUGCGGGCGUGGGUGUGGGUGUGCAGCUGAAGAGUGCCCGGACGUGUGCGACUGCGUGAUGAGCUAUAGGUCUACGACGAACAACUCGUCUGAUCACCCUUGUUGAUGACCCCACACACCUUUUGCUUCCUCACUGACUGGCAGUCGCGGCCGCUGUGUGCUUGCGCGCGUGGACGACGGAGCGCGGGGCAAGGCGGUGUGGAGCACGUGCGCACAUGGAGAUGCUGUGUGCGUUGCCGUCUUCGCACUUCCUCAGCCCCCUUCUCGCCUCCCUGCUGCUGCUGCUGCGCCGCUCUGGCGAUGCGCGCUGCGCAGAUGCGCCUCCGGUCGUUUCCGCAGUUGUCGGCUCUUGCUCUCUAUCGGCGGCACAUGAUUCGACACUUGGAUGAACUUGUCCUCCGCAGAGUGCCGCUGCUGCUCUCUGAAGAGGCGCGGCGUGCACGAGGCUGCAUGAAAACAUCCUGAUGACCGUGCCUGCGUGUGUGCGCCUUACGCAAAUGCGUAGCGGCGCUGCCACUGCCGCUCUCUGCGUGUCUGUGUUGGUGCGCCCGCCCCUCCCGCCUUCGCAUGCCGCCGCAGGAUUACCACACCAACGAGUUUCUGAUGUAAUGAGUCCGAGCCCUUCCGCGGCGACGAGUCGAUAACGCUGUCAACUGUGCAAUGAGGCGCUGCGUGGUGGGCGCUGUGGGCGUGUGCGUGUGUGCUGUGUGGGCCGAAGUGGUGCGCAUGCAGGCACCCCUCGACGCAUGUGUGCGCGUGUGAUGAUACACCAAAGCAGGGAAUCUCUUGUCGAGCGCCGGCGCGCGUCGCCGGCGUGGUGACAUGACACACUUUGAGUAACCGAAUCCAUUCAUUGAAUUGCCUGACCCGUGCGUGUGUGUGUGCGUGUCGGACGCAUGCGUGUGCUCCCACCCCCCCCCCAAAUGACGAAUGUGGCAUCUCUCCACGGACACCGCAUUCGCACUGCGGUGCGUGACAUCACUGUUGCCUUCGAACCUAAUACCAGGGCCGAUGCGGGCGUGGGUGUGGGUGUGCAGCUGAAGAGUGCCCGGACGUGUGCGACUGCGUGAUGAGCUAUAGGUCUACGACGAACAACUCGUCUGAUCACCCUUGUUGAUGACCCCACACACCUUUUGCUUCCUCACUGACUGGCAGUCGCGGCCGCUGUGUGCUUGCGCGCGUGGACGACGGAGCGCGGGGCAAGGCGGUGUGGAGCACGUGCGCACAUGGAGAUGCUGUGUGCGUUGCCGUCUUCGCACUUCCUCAGCCCCCUUCUCGCCUCCCUGCUGCUGCUGCUGCGCCGCUCUGGCGAUGCGCGCUGCGCAGAUGCGCCUCCGGUCGUUUCCGCAGUUGUCGGCUCUUGCUCUCUAUCGGCGGCACAUGAUUCGACACUUGGAUGAACUUGUCCUCCGCAGAGUGCCGCUGCUGCUCUCUGAAGAGGCGCGGCGUGCACGAGGCUGCAUGAAAACAUCCUGAUGACCGUGCCUGCGUGUGUGCGCCUUACGCAAAUGCGUAGCGGCGCUGCCACUGCCGCUCUCUGCGUGUCUGUGUUGGUGCGCCCGCCCCUCCCGCCUUCGCAUGCCGCCGCAGGAUUACCACACCAACGAGUUUCUGAUGUAAUGAGUCCGAGCCCUUCCGCGGCGACGAGUCGAUAACGCUGUCAACUGUGCAAUGAGGCGCUGCGUGGUGGGCGCUGUGGGCGUGUGCGUCUGUGCUGUGUGGGCCGAAGUGGUGCGCAUGCAGGCACCCCUCGACGCAUGUGUGCGCGUGUGAUGAUACACCAAAGCAGGGAAUCUCUUGUCGAGCGCCGGCGCGCGUCGCCGGCGUGGUGACAUGACACACUUUGAGUAACCGAAUCCAUUCAUUGAAUUGCCUGACCCGUGCGUGUGUGUGUGCGUGUCGGACGCAUGCGUGUGCUCCCACCCCCCCCCCAAAUGACGAAUGUGGCAUCUCUCCACGGACACCGCAUUCGCACUGCGGUGCGUGACAUCACUGUUGCCUUCGAACCUAAUACCAGGGCCGAUGCGGGCGUGGGUGUGGGUGUGCAGCUGAAGAGUGCCCGGACGUGUGCGACUGCGUGAUGAGCUAUAGGUCUACGACGAACAACUCGUCUGAUCACCCUUGUUGAUGACCCCACACACCUUUUGCUUCCUCACUGACUGGCAGUCGCGGCCGCUGUGUGCUUGCGCGCGUGGACGACGGAGCGCGGGGCAAGGCGGUGUGGAGCACGUGCGCACAUGGAGAUGCUGUGUGCGUUGCCGUCUUCGCACUUCCUCAGCCCCCUUCUCGCCUCCCUGCUGCUGCUGCUGCGCCGCUCUGGCGAUGCGCGCUGCGCAGAUGCGCCUCCGGUCGUUUCCGCAGUUGUCGGCUCUUGCUCUCUAUCGGCGGCACAUGAUUCGACACUUGGAUGAACUUGUCCUCCGCAGAGUGCCGCUGCUGCUCUCUGAAGAGGCGCGGCGUGCACGAGGCUGCAUGAAAACAUCCUGAUGACCGUGCCUGCGUGUGUGCGCCUUACGCAAAUGCGUAGCGGCGCUGCCACUGCCGCUCUCUGCGUGUCUGUGUUGGUGCGCCCGCCCCUCCCGCCUUCGCAUGCCGCCGCAGGAUUACCACACCAACGAGUUUCUGAUGUAAUGAGUCCGAGCCCUUCCGCGGCGACGAGUCGAUAACGCUGUCAACUGUGCAAUGAGGCGCUGCGUGGUGGGCGCUGUGGGCGUGUGCGUCUGUGCUGUGUGGGCCGAAGUGGUGCGCAUGCAGGCACCCCUCGACGCAUGUGUGCGCGUGUGAUGAUACACCAAAGCAGGGAAUCUCUUGUCGAGCGCCGGCGCGCGUCGCCGGCGUGGUGACAUGACACACUUUGAGUAACCGAAUCCAUUCAUUGAAUUGCCUGACCCGUGCGUGUGUGUGUGCGUGUCGGACGCAUGCGUGUGCUCCCACCCCCCCCCCAAAUGACGAAUGUGGCAUCUCUCCACGGACACCGCAUUCGCACUGCGGUGCGUGACAUCACUGUUGCCUUCGAACCUAAUACCAGGGCCGAUGCGGGCGUGGGUGUGGGUGUGCAGCUGAAGAGUGCCCGGACGUGUGCGACUGCGUGAUGAGCUAUAGGUCUACGACGAACAACUCGUCUGAUCACCCUUGUUGAUGACCCCACACACCUUUUGCUUCCUCACUGACUGGCAGUCGCGGCCGCUGUGUGCUUGCGCGCGUGGACGACGGAGCGCGGGGCAAGGCGGUGUGGAGCACGUGCGCACAUGGAGAUGCUGUGUGCGUUGCCGUCUUCGCACUUCCUCAGCCCCCUUCUCGCCUCCCUGCUGCUGCUGCUGCGCCGCUCUGGCGAUGCGCGCUGCGCAGAUGCGCCUCCGGUCGUUUCCGCAGUUGUCGGCUCUUGCUCUCUAUCGGCGGCACAUGAUUCGACACUUGGAUGAACUUGUCCUCCGCAGAGUGCCGCUGCUGCUCUCUGAAGAGGCGCGGCGUGCACGAGGCUGCAUGAAAACAUCCUGAUGACCGUGCCUGCGUGUGUGCGCCUUACGCAAAUGCGUAGCGGCGCUGCCACUGCCGCUCUCUGCGUGUCUGUGUUGGUGCGCCCGCCCCUCCCGCCUUCGCAUGCCGCCGCAGGAUUACCACACCAACGAGUUUCUGAUGUAAUGAGUCCGAGCCCUUCCGCGGCGACGAGUCGAUAACGCUGUCAACUGUGCAAUGAGGCGCUGCGUGGUGGGCGCUGUGGGCGUGUGCGUCUGUGCUGUGUGGGCCGAAGUGGUGCGCAUGCAGGCACCCCUCGACGCAUGUGUGCGCGUGUGAUGAUACACCAAAGCAGGGAAUCUCUUGUCGAGCGCCGGCGCGCGUCGCCGGCGUGGUGACAUGACACACUUUGAGUAACCGAAUCCAUUCAUUGAAUUGCCUGACCCGUGCGUGUGUGUGUGCGUGUCGGACGCAUGCGUGUGCUCCCACCCCCCCCCCAAAUGACGAAUGUGGCAUCUCUCCACGGACACCGCAUUCGCACUGCGGUGCGUGACAUCACUGUUGCCUUCGAACCUAAUACCAGGGCCGAUGCGGGCGUGGGUGUGGGUGUGCAGCUGAAGAGUGCCCGGACGUGUGCGACUGCGUGAUGAGCUAUAGGUCUACGACGAACAACUCGUCUGAUCACCCUUGUUGAUGACCCCACACACCUUUUGCUUCCUCACUGACUGGCAGUCGCGGCCGCUGUGUGCUUGCGCGCGUGGACGACGGAGCGCGGGGCAAGGCGGUGUGGAGCACGUGCGCACAUGGAGAUGCUGUGUGCGUUGCCGUCUUCGCACUUCCUCAGCCCCCUUCUCGCCUCCCUGCUGCUGCUGCUGCGCCGCUCUGGCGAUGCGCGCUGCGCAGAUGCGCCUCCGGUCGUUUCCGCAGUUGUCGGCUCUUGCUCUCUAUCGGCGGCACAUGAUUCGACACUUGGAUGAACUUGUCCUCCGCAGAGUGCCGCUGCUGCUCUCUGAAGAGGCGCGGCGUGCACGAGGCUGCAUGAAAACAUCCUGAUGACCGUGCCUGCGUGUGUGCGCCUUACGCAAAUGCGUAGCGGCGCUGCCACUGCCGCUCUCUGCGUGUCUGUGUUGGUGCGCCCGCCCCUCCCGCCUUCGCAUGCCGCCGCAGGAUUACCACACCAACGAGUUUCUGAUGUAAUGAGUCCGAGCCCUUCCGCGGCGACGAGUCGAUAACGCUGUCAACUGUGCAAUGAGGCGCUGCGUGGUGGGCGCUGUGGGCGUGUGCGUCUGUGCUGUGUGGGCCGAAGUGGUGCGCAUGCAGGCACCCCUCGACGCAUGUGUGCGCGUGUGAUGAUACACCAAAGCAGGGAAUCUCUUGUCGAGCGCCGGCGCGCGUCGCCGGCGUGGUGACAUGACACACUUUGAGUAACCGAAUCCAUUCAUUGAAUUGCCUGACCCGUGCGUGUGUGUGUGCGUGUCGGACGCAUGCGUGUGCUCCCACCCCCCCCCCCAAAUGACGAAUGUGGCAUCUCUCCACGGACACCGCAUUCGCACUGCGGUGCGUGACAUCACUGUUGCCUUCGAACCUAAUACCAGGGCCGAUGCGGGCGUGGGUGUGGGUGUGCAGCUGAAGAGUGCCCGGACGUGUGCGACUGCGUGAUGAGCUAUAGGUCUACGACGAACAACUCGUCUGAUCACCCUUGUUGAUGACCCCACACACCUUUUGCUUCCUCACUGACUGGCAGUCGCGGCCGCUGUGUGCUUGCGCGCGUGGACGACGGAGCGCGGGGCAAGGCGGUGUGGAGCACGUGCGCACAUGGAGAUGCUGUGUGCGUUGCCGUCUUCGCACUUCCUCAGCCCCCUUCUCGCCUCCCUGCUGCUGCUGCUGCGCCGCUCUGGCGAUGCGCGCUGCGCAGAUGCGCCUCCGGUCGUUUCCGCAGUUGUCGGCUCUUGCUCUCUAUCGGCGGCACAUGAUUCGACACUUGGAUGAACUUGUCCUCCGCAGAGUGCCGCUGCUGCUCUCUGAAGAGGCGCGGCGUGCACGAGGCUGCAUGAAAACAUCCUGAUGACCGUGCCUGCGUGUGUGCGCCUUACGCAAAUGCGUAGCGGCGCUGCCACUGCCGCUCUCUGCGUGUCUGUGUUGGUGCGCCCGCCCCUCCCGCCUUCGCAUGCCGCCGCAGGAUUACCACACCAACGAGUUUCUGAUGUAAUGAGUCCGAGCCCUUCCGCGGCGACGAGUCGAUAACGCUGUCAACUGUGCAAUGAGGCGCUGCGUGGUGGGCGCUGUGGGCGUGUGCGUCUGUGCUGUGUGGGCCGAAGUGGUGCGCAUGCAGGCACCCCUCGACGCAUGUGUGCGCGUGUGAUGAUACACCAAAGCAGGGAAUCUCUUGUCGAGCGCCGGCGCGCGUCGCCGGCGUGGUGACAUGACACACUUUGAGUAACCGAAUCCAUUCAUUGAAUUGCCUGACCCGUGCGUGUGUGUGUGCGUGUCGGACGCAUGCGUGUGCUCCCACCCCCCCCCCCAAAUGACGAAUGUGGCAUCUCUCCACGGACACCGCAUUCGCACUGCGGUGCGUGACAUCACUGUUGCCUUCGAACCUAAUACCAGGGCCGAUGCGGGCGUGGGUGUGGGUGUGCAGCUGAAGAGUGCCCGGACGUGUGCGACUGCGUGAUGAGCUAUAGGUCUACGACGAACAACUCGUCUGAUCACCCUUGUUGAUGACCCCACACACCUUUUGCUUCCUCACUGACUGGCAGUCGCGGCCGCUGUGUGCUUGCGCGCGUGGACGACGGAGCGCGGGGCAAGGCGGUGUGGAGCACGUGCGCACAUGGAGAUGCUGUGUGCGUUGCCGUCUUCGCACUUCCUCAGCCCCCUUCUCGCCUCCCUGCUGCUGCUGCUGCGCCGCUCUGGCGAUGCGCGCUGCGCAGAUGCGCCUCCGGUCGUUUCCGCAGUUGUCGGCUCUUGCUCUCUAUCGGCGGCACAUGAUUCGACACUUGGAUGAACUUGUCCUCCGCAGAGUGCCGCUGCUGCUCUCUGAAGAGGCGCGGCGUGCACGAGGCUGCAUGAAAACAUCCUGAUGACCGUGCCUGCGUGUGUGCGCCUUACGCAAAUGCGUAGCGGCGCUGCCACUGCCGCUCUCUGCGUGUCUGUGUUGGUGCGCCCGCCCCUCCCGCCUUCGCAUGCCGCCGCAGGAUUACCACACCAACGAGUUUCUGAUGUAAUGAGUCCGAGCCCUUCCGCGGCGACGAGUCGAUAACGCUGUCAACUGUGCAAUGAGGCGCUGCGUGGUGGGCGCUGUGGGCGUGUGCGUCUGUGCUGUGUGGGCCGAAGUGGUGCGCAUGCAGGCACCCCUCGACGCAUGUGUGCGCGUGUGAUGAUACACCAAAGCAGGGAAUCUCUUGUCGAGCGCCGGCGCGCGUCGCCGGCGUGGUGACAUGACACACUUUGAGUAACCGAAUCCAUUCAUUGAAUUGCCUGACCCGUGCGUGUGUGUGUGCGUGUCGGACGCAUGCGUGUGCUCCCACCCCCCCCCCCCCCAAAUGACGAAUGUGGCAUCUCUCCACGGACACCGCAUUCGCACUGCGGUGCGUGACAUCACUGUUGCCUUCGAACCUAAUACCAGGGCCGAUGCGGGCGUGGGUGUGGGUGUGCAGCUGAAGAGUGCCCGGACGUGUGCGACUGCGUGAUGAGCUAUAGGUCUACGACGAACAACUCGUCUGAUCACCCUUGUUGAUGACCCCACACACCUUUUGCUUCCUCACUGACUGGCAGUCGCGGCCGCUGUGUGCUUGCGCGCGUGGACGACGGAGCGCGGGGCAAGGCGGUGUGGAGCACGUGCGCACAUAGAGGCUCGAAUGUGGUGAUGUGGGACGCUUGGCGUAGGCCUUUUGCAUUCUUAUAUCGCUGAUGGGGAUGAUGGAUGUGUAGGAAUGGUUGUGGUUUCGGGGACAUUGCUGACUAUGAGGGCUGCUGUGUGGAGCAGUCGUGGGAGAUGCCGGAUUGUGGUGGUGGCGAUGGGUAUCGGGGUGUGGCUUUGGAUAAUGUUCUUCCGCCGUUCUUGCGUGUGCAUUUGUAGUGCGGCGCACCCGCUGGAAACCCGUUGUCUGUGUGCGUGUUUUUGGUGUCCGUGAUGGACUGCUGAGCAGUCGAGAGAGGCGAAAACGUUUGAAUGAGGCGUUGCGGCGGUGGGUAUCGAAGUAUUUUCCGCCUGCCCUAAAAGUAGGCUGCCUCGUUAACCUCACUACCAACCUUCUGGGCGUGUUCGUGCAUGUGGGCGCGUGGAUGCCUGAGCGCGACUGCACUGCCAGAUAAGAAACCGGAAACCUCUGCACAUACACCUACUCUUUUUGACUGACGUGCGCACCAUGUGUGUCUCAUUCUUGUCGGCCCUCAUCGUCGCUCUCCCCAUCCGUGCACGACAUACUUUUUUUUCUCUACGCCCUUCGUCGCGUUCGCGCCGGCAAACUUGCACGUACCCUGAUGGCUGUGCCGUUCCUUUUUCAG
This 8608-nucleotide unclassified non-coding RNA is filed under the name Leishmania donovani. Its description in RNAcentral is "gene:unknown". The record is from RNAcentral. Lineage: Eukaryota; Euglenozoa; Kinetoplastea; Trypanosomatida; Trypanosomatidae.